Molecule: ribosomal RNA, 465 nt
Filed under: uncultured bacterium
Lineage: Bacteria
Description: bacterial SSU rRNA
Rfam family: Bacterial small subunit ribosomal RNA
Source: RNAcentral
GACGAACGCUGGCGGCGUGCUUAAAACAUGCAAGUCGAACGGACUUCUCAUGAAGCUUGCGAUUGAGGAGUUAGUGGCGGACGGGUGAGUAACGCGUGGGCAACCUGCCCCUGAGCCCGGGAUAACAGUUCGAAAGGACUGCUAAGACCGGAUAUACUUGCGGGGAAGCAUUUCACUGCAAGGAAAGGGAACGCUCAGGGAUGGGCCCGCGUCCCAUUAGCUAGUUGGUGAGGUAACGGCCCACCAAGGCGACGAUGGGUAGCCGGCCUGAGAGGGUGAACGGCCACACUGGGACUGAGACACGGCCCAGACUCCUACGGGAGGCAGCAGUUGGGAAUCUUCGGCAAUGGGCGCAAGCCUGACCGAGCAACGCCGCGUGAGUGAUGAAGGUUUUCGGAUUGUAAAGCUCUGUCUUCCGGGACGAUAAUGACGGUACCGGAGGAGGAAGCCACGGCUAACUACGUG